AGACCCUUGCCAUCAGCAGAGGCUGCCGCUGCGCGUCCCCUAGGCGCGGAAGAGGCGGCUGGUGGUCCCUGACGGCAAGGUGAAGUCGAGGCAGUAAUCGGGAACCCAGGUUGGGAGGACAGAAUGGGGAACAGGAAGCUGGGGCGAGGGUGGUCUUGGGGGAGGUGGGGGGCCGCGGAAUUCUAGGUGGCCCCUGCCUCACCUCUGGAAAGAACCGGAAGCCCGGGCCGGGGAGGGUGAAGGGAGUCGCGGACCCGGCUGCUCAGCCGAGGAGGAAACCCGGACCCCAGGCUGAGGGAGGCCGAAGAAGGAACUGGAGGGCCGGGCUGGGAAGGCCUGAAGCGGGUACAGCCUUUAGGCUGGGGAGGGUCGAGGGGAGAACUCGGAGCCUGAGUCGGGCGAGGUUUUGCUCCACUCUGGCUUCUAAGUGUGGGGGCCUCAGGAUGUGACCCGUGGUCGUAAACCUGAGGGUGACUUGGAGUUUUUGUCCGUUUUGCACCAUGAGAAAGGCCCCAGAUGGAAUCUGGCAGGUUUUAUACAUUACGAAUAAAGCUGGCACGUUUCCAUUUCUCCUGGGCAAAUAUUUAGAAGAAAAGUUGCUGGGUAAUUGGUGGAGACAAGGUUUCGCCACAUUGACUGGGCUGGUCUGGAACUCCUGAGCUCAAGCAACCGGCCCUCCUUGACCUCCCAAAGUGCUAGGAUUACAGGUGUGAACCACCGUGCCCGGCCCUACUUUCUAUCGAAGUAGAAUAGGUAGAUCACAUUAUUAUUAACAGUAUAUGGGAAGAGGGAGGUCCUCCCAUGUUACAUUGUUCUCCCUUCACCUUCUGGGUCAUGUUGCACCACUGUUUCCCUUCUAGUCAUAUCCCAGGGGGCCUUGUCCCAUUUAUACAGCUCUAUUCUAGUGGUCACCAGAGGAAUGGGAGUAAUCUGAUUGAAAGAUAAGACAGAAGAUUGUACUCUCUUUUUUUUUUUUUUGAGACAGAGUCACCCAGGCUGGAAUGCAGUGGCAUUGUCAUGGCUCACCGCAGUCUCAAACUCCUGGGCCCAAGUGAUCCUCCCACUCAGCCUCCUGAGUAGCUGGGACUAGAGGCACAUGCAACCACAUGCAGCUAUUUUUUUUUAAAUUUUCUGUAGAGACAGGGUCUCACUGUGUUGCUCAGUUUGUCUCAAACUCCUGGGCUCAAGUGAUCCUCCUGCCUUGGCCUCACAAAGUACUAGGAUUACAGGCAUGAGUCACCACACUCAGCUGAACUCUACUCUUUAUGUUCAGGAAAGCACUGGAGAAGAGAGAGGACAAGAGAAACAGGUCCGUAGUGACAGGAGCCUAGGAAUAGAGCAGGCCUUCAGUCUUGGUGAAAAAAUAAAUGGUAUUCUAAGCCUUCCUUUGGACAUUAAUUCAGUACUACCCACUCUUUUUCUCUUGUCCAUUCCUCCCUUAUAUUUUUUUUAUAAAAUGAAGAACUCAAUCCCUUAUUUUUUUUUUCUAUCCUUCAAGUGAAGGGCAAGAACAAAGAGUGUGGGGGAGAUUUUUUUUUUUUUUUUUUUUUUGAGACGGAGUCUUAACUCUGUCACCCAGGCUGGAGUGCAGUGGUGCUAUCUCGGCUCACUGCAACCUCCGCCUCCCAGGUUCAAGCGAUCCUCCUGCCUCAGCCUCCCAAGUAGCUGGGACUACAGGCCUGCGCCACCGCACGCAGCUAAUUUUUUGUAUUUUUAGUAGAGACGAGGUUUCAACAUGUUGGACAGGAUGGUCUUGAUCUCUUUUUUUUUUUUUUUUUUUUUUUUUUUUUUUUGAGACGGAGUCUCACUCUGUUGCCCAGGCUGGAGUGCAGUGGCGUGAUCUCAGCUCACUGCAAGCUCCGCCUCCCGGGUUCACGCUAUUCUCCUGCCUCAGCCUCCCGAGUAGCUGGGACUAUAGGUGCCCGCCACGAUGCCCGGCUAAUUUUUUGUAUUUUUAGUAGAGAUGGGGUUUCACCGUGUUAGCCAGGAUGGUCUCGAUCUCCUGACCUUGUGAUCCCCCCGCCUCAGCCUCCAAAAGUGCUAGGAUUAUAGGCAUGAGCCACUGCACUCCACUGGGGGAGAAUUUUUUUUUUUUUGAGAUGAAGUGUUGCUCUGUUGCCCACGCUGGAGUACAGUGGUGCGAUCUUGGCUUACUGCAACUUCUGUCUCCCGGGUUCAAGCAUUUCUGCUGCCUCAGCCUCCCUGGUAGCUGGGAUUAUGCCACCACACUUGGCUGAUUUUUGUGUUUUUAGUACAGAUGGUUUCGCCAUUUGACCAGGCUGGUCUCGAACUCCUGACUUCAAGUGAUCUGCCAGCCUUGGCCUCCCAAAGUGCUGGGAUUACAGGCGUGAGCCACCGCACCCGGCCACAUGUAGUAUUAAAUUGUGUAUUUGCGCCUGGAGGCAGUGGCUCAUGCCUAUAAUCCCAGCACUUGGGGAGGCCGAGGCGGGUGGAUCACCUGCUGAGGUCAGGAGUUCGAGACCAGCCUGGCCAACAUGGUGAAAACCUGUCUCUACUAAAAAUUAGCCAGGCAUGGUCGUGGGUGCCUGUAAUCCCAGCUACUCGGGAGGCUGAGGCAGAGAAUUGCUUGAACCCGGUAGGUGGAGGUUGUAGUGAGCCAAGAUUGCGCCGUUGCACUCCAGCCUGGGAGACAGAGUGAGACUCCGUCUAAAAAAAAAAAAAAUACUACACGUGUGAAUUAGAAAUUCUAAGCUGAGAAAGCUACUUAAAAUUGGUCAAGAAAAAGAUACACAUUAAGUAUAAGAAAGUUGGCAUGGCUAUAGUAGUAUCAGAUAAUAGGCCUCAAAACAGUGUAUAUGGCAGGAGAUAGGUAACAGUCAUAAAAGAGCAGGUCAUUAGGAAUUUGCAUAUACAUUUGUCACUACAGGGAUACAUUCUGAGAAAUGUGUUAUUAGGUGAUUGCAUCAUGCAAGCAUCAUAGAGCACACUAACACAAACAGCAAUGGGGUAGCCUACUACAUACCUAAGUUAUAUGGUAUAGCCUAUUGCUCCUAGGCUACAAACCUGUAUAGCAUAUUAUAUAGCAUAUAGCAUACCUGUAUUGAAUGCUGUAGGCAUUUAUAACACAGUGGUGUUUGUGUAUCUAAACAUAGCAAAGGUACAGUAAAAAUACUGUAUAAAAUAUUAAAAAAUGGCACACCGGUAUAAGAUACUUGCCAUGAAUGGAGCUUGUGGGACUGAAUUUCUGGGUGCAUCAGUGAGUGAGUUGUGAGAGAAUGCUAAGGACUAGGACAUUACUGUAUACUGCUGUAGACUUUACAAGCAGUACACUUAGGCUUCACUAAAUUUAUUUUUUUAAGUUUUCUUCAAUAAUAAAUUAACCUUAGCUUCCUGUAAUAUUUUUACAUUAUAAACUUACUAUUUUUUAUCUUUCUGAAUUGUAGUGACUCUUCACUUAAAACGCAAACACAUUAUAUAGCAACACAAAAAUAUUUCUGUCCUUAUUCUAUAGGCUUUUUUCUAUUUAAAAAUUUUUUUGUUUUAAAAAUGUUUGUUACUUUUUAAACUUUCUUGUUAAAAACAAACACACUUUAGCCUGGGCCUACACAGGGUCUAGAGUAUCAAUAUGUCUGUCUUUUACCGCCAUAUCUUGUCCAACUGGAAUGUCGUCUUCAGGAUUAAAAAUAUGCAUGGAGCUGUCAUCGCCUAUGAAAACAAUGCCUUCUUCUGGAUACCUCCUGAAGGACUUGCCUGAGGCUGUUUUACAGUUACUUUUUUUUUUUAAUAAGUAGAAGGAGUACAGUCUAAAAUAAUAAUACAAAUAGUACAAUAAAUUACAUAAACUAGUAAUGUAAUCACUUAUUAUUAUCACCUAUUACGUACUAUACAUAAUUGCAUGUGCUAUACUUUUAUACAACUGGAAGCACAGUAGGUUUAUUUACAGCAGCGUCACCACAAACACCUGAGUGAUAUGUUGCAUGACAACGUCCACAAGUGAUAGGAAUUUUUCAGCUCCAUUGUAAUCUUAUGGGACCACCAUUGUAUAUGUGUCCAUCAUUGAGUAAAAUGUUAUUACAUGACACAUGACUGUGUUCAUCAGGAAUAUGUAUGCUAGUAUGAACCUAUAAUGAGAGUGUUAAAUUUUAUGAAGCAAAAACUAACAGAACAAAAGAAAUAGAUCCACAAGCAUAAUUGGAAAUCCACAAUUAUAUCUCAGUAAUUGAUAGCACUUGUAGGCAAGAAAUUCAGUAGUAUAUGUAAUCAGCUCUUCAUAUAUGCAGAUUCAACCAAUAGCAAUGCACAAAUAUUCAGAAAAAACACAAUGACAGUAAAAAAAUACAAAUUUUAAAAUACAGUAUAAAAUUAUUUACAUAGCAUUUACAUUGUAUUAAGUAUUAUAAAAAAUCUAGAGAUGGUUUAAAAUAUACAGAAGGUUGUGCAUAGGUUAUAUGCAACUACUACACCAUUUUAUAUAACAAACUUGGGCAUCUGUAGGUUUUGGUAUCCACAAGGUGUCCUGGAACCAGUCCCCUGUGGAUAGCAAGGGACAACUGUAUAGAAGAUAUGAACCACACCAGUCAACAUGACCUAAUUGUUGUUUACAGAACACCAUACCCACAAUUGAAAAAUUACAUUCUUUUCAUGUACCUGAACAGUCCCCAUGAUAGACUAUUGGCUGGACCAUAAGUCACAAUAAACUUCAAAAGAUUGCCACAUUACAGGGAAUGUGCAUUAGAAACCAAUAAUAAGAAACCUAUACAGUCCUUCAAUACAUGGAAAUUAAAUAACACACUUCUAGAUCUACAGAUCAUUGAAUAAAUAAGGGGAAAAUGUUUUGAAAUAUGAAAAAGUGACAACAGCAUAUCAAAAUUGGAAGGAUACAGCUAAAGCAGAGUUGAGAGGAAUGUUAAGUACUUAAAUAAAAAAAGGAGAAAUUCAUAGCAGCAUUAUUCACAAUAACCAAGAAAUACGUACAACCCAGAUGUUCAUCAGUGGAUGAAUGGAUAAACAAAAUGUGGUAAUAUGAUUUGGAUAUUUGUUCCCUCAAAAUCUCACACGGACAUGUGACCCCCAGUGUUGGAGGUGGCGCCUAGUGGGAGGUGUUGGAUUAUGGGGUGGAUCUCAUGAAUGGCUUGGUGUCCUCCACAUGGAUAUGAGUUCAUCCUAUAGCUAGUUGUUUAAAAGAGCCUGGCACCUCCUCCCUCUCCCUUUUGUUCCCUCUUGCCAUGUGAUAUGCUAGCUCUCCCUUUGCCUUCUGCCAUAAUUGUAAGCUUCCUGAGGCCUCACCAGAAGCAGAUGCUGGCACUAUGCUUCUUGUACAGCCUAUAGAACCAUAAGCUAAAUAAACCAUUUUUCUUUAUAAAUUACCCAGCCUCAGGUAUUCCUUUAUAGCAACACAAAACAGACUAAUACAUGUGGCAUAUACAUACAAUGUAAUAUUAUUCAGCCUUGGAAGGAAAUUUUGACAUAUGCUACAAUGUGGCUGAACCUUGAGGAUAUUCUAAUAAGCCAAUCACAAAAAGAUAACUACUUAUGAUUCCACUCAUAUGAAGUAUCUAGAGUAGUCCACCUCAUAAAAUCAGAAAGUAUUACUGGUCUCCCACUUUUAGGCUAUUAACGCUUGUAGUGAGAGUUUGUAGGUUUCUUGUCGUGGUUGCCAGGGGCUGGGGGCAGGGGGAAAAGGGUAGUUAUUAUUUCAUGGAUAUAGUUUCACAUUUACAGGAUGAAAAAGUUGUGGAUGUUGGUUGUACAAAAAUGGGAAUAUACUUAAUGCUGCUGAGCUGUAUACUCAAAUAGUUAAGAUGGUAAAUUUUAUGUUACAUGUAUACUUUGCCACCAUUUUUAAAAAUGAGGAAAGGCUUAAACAAGAAUAAUAAACAUGCUAUAUGCUAAACCAAAAGUCAAAAAAAAGAAGUAAAGAUGGGCAUAAAUCGGCUGGGCGCGGUGGCUCACGCCUGUAAUCCCAGCACUGUGGGAGGCUGAGACGGGCAGAUCACGAGGUCAGGAGAUCGAGACCAUCCUGACUAACAUGGUGAAACCCCAUCUCUACUAAAAAUGCAAAAAAUUAGCCAGGAGUUGUGGCAGGCGCCGCCUGUAGUCCCAGCUACUCGGGAGGCUGAGGCAGGAGAAUGGCCUAAAUCCGGGAGGAGGAGCUUGCAGUGAGCCGAGAUCGCGCCACUGCACUCCAGGCUGGGUGACAGAGCGAGACUCCAUCUUAAAAAAAAAAAAAAAAAAAAGAUGAGCAUAAAUCAAUUAAGUAGAAAUAGAAAGCAGACCAUUAAGAAAAUGAACAAAACAACAAGUUUAUGUGAAGGUAUUUUAAAAAUGGAUAAAUCCCUAGUAAGCAUAAUUAAUAAAAUAGAAAACACAAAUUGCCCAUGUCAGGAAUAAAAAUGAAGAUGCCACUACGGAUCCUAUAGACAGUAAAAUGAUAAGGCAAUAUUAUGAACAAUUUUAUGCCAAUAAAUUUGACAUUUUAGAUGAAAUUCAUCCAUUCCUUUAAAAGCACAGCUUCUCAAAACUCUUGACUCAAAAUGAAAUAGAAAAACAGAAAGUCUGUAUCUAAUUGUUUGUUUGUUUGUUUGUUUGGAGACAGGGUCUUGCUUUGUCAGACUGGAGGCUAGUGGCAUGAUCAUGACUCACUACAGCCUCAACCUACCAGUAUCAAGUGAUUCUUCUGUCUCAGCCUCCCAAGUAGCUGGGAGUACAGGUGGGCACCACUAUGGCCAGCUAAUUAAAAAAAAAAUUUAGAGACAGGGUCUCACUUUGUUGUGCAGGCUGGUCUUGAACUCCUGGGCUCAAGAAAUCCUCCCACCUUGGCCUCCCAAAGUGCUGAGAUUUCAGGCAUGUGCCAUGACACCUGGCCUAAAAUUUUAAGUUUUAAUAAAUAAAAAUCCAUACAUACAGAACCAGGUUCAGCUCCACUGAAACCCCUGCAACUCAGCCAAAAGUAAAUGUAACAUGGUUUUGAAUGCUGUCUUAAUCCAGGGCACAUGAAAAACCCUUAAAAACAAAAACAAAAACAAAGCAUACCUCUGCCCCACCGAGAUGAGCUCAAAAACAAACAUUACAAACAACGAGGAAAUAACCAUCACAGGAGGGUCAGCAGAGUAAAUAAAUAAUAAAGUUGGCACCUACAAGAACUGCAUAUAAUAUGACAAUAUGAAAGAAUAUGAAAUGUUUUAAAUGGAAAAAAACUCAUAAUGAAAGCAUAAUACUUAAAAAGAAUCAGUAGAUUUAAAAAAUAACCAGAGAAAAUUUCUAGAAAUAAAAAAGAUCUUAAGUAUAGAGAACAUAACAAGCACAGCUCAAAAUUAAUGAACUUAAAGAUAUAUCUGAAGAGAUUACCUAUAAUGCAGCACAGAGAUAAAAAGUGAAAUACAGAUGAGAAACUGAGACAUGGAAGAAAAUAAAAGGGCCCAAGACACAUCUAAUAAAUGUCAUAAAAGGAGAAAAAGGAGGAGAAGCAUCAGAAGAAAAAGUGGUUUACAACUUUUCAAAAUUAAACUCAAUUUUAAGAUGAGGAAUCAAAAUGAGUGUCAAGUAGGAUAAUGAAAGUGGAUCUAACACCUAGACACAUCACAGUGAUAAUGCAAAACAGAAAUCUUGAAAAGAAGGAAGGGAGGGAAGGAAAGAAAAGAAAAACAGAAAAGACAUGCUACCUAAAAGGAAAGAUGAUUGGGCACAAGAUGUCAGAAGACAGGAGAAUAAUACCUUCAAACUGAUAGAGGAAAAGUAGCAAUUAAGAGUGGGGCAAAAUAAAGACAUUUUCAGACAAAGAUAAGGUUUUUUUCAUAGACUCACUGGAAGAAUUUCUAAAGGAUGUGAAUCAGCAAAAAGAAAAACCCAGAAAGACAGAAUGAGAUAAAAUUUUAAAUGAUGAGCAAGGAAAUUGGUAAAUAUGUUGGGGAUUCUGUUUACUAAGUAAUGAUGAUUACUUUUUACGGAAUUUCAAAACAAAUUAGAUCAAAAGCACCAGACAAAAAUAGAAAGAGGCCGGAUGCGGUAGUUCACACCUGUAAUCCCAGCACUUUGGGAGGCCAAGAUGGGCAGAUCACUUGAGGUCAGGAGUUGGAGACCAGCCUGGCCAACAUGCUGAAACCCCAUUUUCACUAAAAAUACAAAAAUCAGCUGGGUGUGGUGGCGCUCACCUGUGAUCCCAACUACUCAGGAGGCUAAGGCAAGAUAAUCGCUUGAACCCAGGAGGUGGUGGUUGCAGUGAACCGAGAUUGCCCCACUGCACUCCACCCUGGGUAACAGAGGGAGACUCUGUCUCAAAAAAAAAAAAAAAGAAAGAAUGUACCUACAGCAUUCUAAGGUCUUUUUUAUUGCUCAAGAAGGAGAUACCAAUUAGUCAUUAAGUCAAAGAUGCAAGGUUAAGAGUAACUUCCGAUAGUAAAGCAAUACAAUAUCUUAUUUUUAAUCCAGUGCAGGGGAAAGUAGAAUAAGGAGCACUUAAUUGAUCUCAUAGAAGUCAAUAAAACAUAAAAGAAGCAGCAAGUAUAAGCCUGAUUAAACAGAAAGUGGGGAAAGAGAUGGGUCAUUGAGCUAAGGGGAGGCCUGGUGACAGCUCUUGGAAGAUGAAGUCUGACCAGAAUAGCACAUAAGUCAAUCAGGUUGCUGUGGCCAAAGUGCAUCGUCCUUGCCUCUCUGAGUUUGUAGUGGGGAGAAACAACAAACCCAACACUAAACAUGGAGGAAAGAAUUAAAGACUCAGGCCUAUCAGUUUCCACUCCCUGCCCUCCCGUUACUACCAGUUUAAAGGCUUACAGGGGCUCAUGGAUGAGUGGGAAGUUUUUGUGACGUUUGAUAGAGAAAUGAGCUGCCUCUUGACCAGCAGAGAGCCCCAGGUUCAUCCUCAUGUGGAGUAACAGGGCUGCAGAGCAGUCAGUGUUCCAGAGCCCUGUGCUCACAGAUCUAGCUACAAUCCCCACCUGCACUGUUUUUAGUUGUGUAUAUCCCUUAAUGUUACUGAACCUCAUUCUCUUCUGAUGUAAAAUGAAGACAGGCAUUUCUGCUCAACCCAUUUCAUCUGUAAAUGGAGGGAAUAAGUCUUUAUGAAAUGAGACAAAGUAUAUUCAGUGUCUGCAGUGCAGUUAAUAAAUUAGUGUCUUUCUACCUGUUUCUCACAAAACUGAAAUAAAAGCUGGAAAAUUGCUUUGUAAACCAUAAGGCACUCUGCAUACAAAAGAGAUUACUAUGAAUUUUUCCUAAGUGAUUAACUCAUGACUCCUUUCCAUACUCCUCAGCAGUGGCAACAUUGGGAGGCUGGAUUUUGGUGGGAUGGAAGAUAAUGAGGGGACUCUGGUUUCUGGCCAGCUCCAGGACUGGAUGUGAUGGUUAACGAUACUUAACAUCACCACACAGCUCAUUCCCUAGCUGGCUCAGUAACUAUGGAUCUCUAAGCAAUGUCUUAACAUUUACGCUUACAUCUGCUAAGCUAAGUAUGUACUGUUCCUUGAUUUACAUGCCACAUUGAUUUUUUAAGGGGUUUCAACUGUGGAUCAUGAGGCAGAAGAGGUGACAAUGAAAGGUCAGGCAAAGACAGGAGUGUCCAGUGUGGAACACGAAAUCCCAUCCUGACUAUAAAACAUUAUAUGCUGUUUAUUACAUUUUAACUUCAGAAAUUAUCGACUCCAUUUUCCAUUUCCUUGCAAUAUGUAUUGAGCUUUUCAGUCCUGUUUUGUCAUCAUGCAAACAAGUAAAAUUCUUCAGGAUGCAGACCCACCUAAUAGUACUAAAAAGGAAUCUUUAAAAAAUAUGGAGAUGUCUUCUCCCUAUGGAGCUACAGGGGAAAAGACACCACUCUGUGUCAUAAAAUCUAUUUAAAUGGUUGCCGGGCGCGGUGGCUCACCCUUGUAAUCCCAGCACUUUGGGAGGCCGAGGCAGGUGGAUCAUGAGGUCAGGAGUUCAAGACCAGCCUGACCAAUAUGAUGAAACCCCGUCUCUACUAAAAACACAAAAAUUAGCCGGGCGUGGUGGUGUGCAUCUCUAAUCCCAGCUACUCGGGAGGCUGAGGCGGGAGAAUUGCUUGGAGCCAGGAGAUGGAGGCUGCAGUAAGCUGAGAUCAUGCCAUUGCACUCCAGCCUGGGCAACAGAGCGAAAGCGAGACUCCGUCUCAAAAAAAGAAAAAAAAAAAGCUAUUUAAAAGAACCUGAUAUGAUAAAGUAUUGAAUUGAGAACACUCAGUGAAUAUCAGCAUUACUCUCCUGUUCAGUAGAGAGAUAACUCUGAUCAUCCUCAGCUAUUUUCCUGUCUAUAAUUUGCUUAUUUGUAUUAUUUGUGCAAAGAAGUCUUUAACACCUCAUAUUUCAAUAGUAAUCCUAAAUCCUGUUGUUUAUGUCAUAAUUCGCUGCCCUGAUAAUGCUUAAACUCAUCUCUGUUUUUCUAAAAGACAUAAAUAUGUAUAAGGUUUCUAUAUUAAGAAAAAAGACGAGUAUGCUGUUUCUGUUUACUUCUAUCAGCAUAAAGGUAUAAUAAAAUCCCAUGAGUGGCUGGGCGUGGUGGCUCACGCCGGUAAUCCCAACACUUUGGGAGGCUGAGGCAGGUGGAUCACUUAAGGUCAGGAGUUGGAGACCAGCCUGGCCAACAUGGUGAAACCCCAUCUCUACUAAAAAUACAAAAAUUAGCCAGGCGUGGUGGCGAGCACCUGUAAUCCCAGCUACUCAGUAGGCUGAGGCAGGAGAAUCGCUUGAACCCAUGAGGCGGAGGUUGUAGUGAGCCAAGAUCAUGCCACUGUACUCGAGCCUGGGUGUCAGAGCAAGACUCCGUCUCAGGAAAAAAAAAAAAAAAAUCCCAUUAGGGAAAUGCACAACAAAACAAUAAUGAGAUACUAUGAAUACACCUACUACGAUGGCUAUAAUUUAUUUUAAAGUGUUGGGAAGGAUGUUGAGAAAUAAAAACUCUUUUACCCUGCUAGUGGGAAUGUAAAAUGGUCCAGUUGCUGUGAAAAUCAAUCUGGCAGUUCCUGAAAUGGUUAAACAUAAUGUUAGCGUAUAAUCUCCAGUUCUGCUCCUCAGAUCUACCUGACAGAAAUGAAAACAUUUCCACACUAAAACAGGCACAUAAAUCUUCACAGAAGCAUUAUUCACAGUAGCCAAAAAAUGGAAACAACCUAAACAUCCGUCAGCUGAUGAAUGGGUAAGCAAGAUGUCAUAUCCUUACCACACUUUAGAAUAUUAUUCAGUCAUAAAAAGAAAGUAAUAAUGAUACACGUUACAGGGACGAACCUUCAAAACAUUAUGGUAAGUUAAGCUAGUCAUGAAGGAUUUACAUACUGCAUGACUCCAUUUAUAUGAAAUGUCCAGAACAGGAAAAUCUCUCAAGAAAAAGCACAUUAACGGUUGCCUAGGGCUGGAGGGCAUGGGGGUUUGAAAGUGACAGCUAAGGGGAGCUGGAUUUCUUUCGGAGAUACAUACGAUCUAAAAUUGUGGUGAUGCUUGAGCCCAGGAGUUUGAGACCAGACUCGCCAACAUGGUGAAACCCUUUCUUUACUAAAAAUACAAAAAUUAGCUGUGUGUGGUGGCAUGUGCCUGUAAUCCCAGCUAUUUGGGAGGCUGAGGCAGGAGACUCGCUUGAACCCGGGAGGAGGAAGUUGCAGUGAGCCGAGAUCAUGCCACUGCAGUCCAGCCUGGGUGAAAGAGCAAGACUCUCUCAAAAUAAAAUAAAAUUGUGGUGAAGAAUGUAUAACUCUGUGAAUAUACAAAAAUCCAUUGAAUUGUACACUUUAAAUGGGUGAAUUGUAUAUGAAUUAUGGCUCAAUAAAGUGGUUUUAAUGUGUCUCAUGCCUUAAGGGAUUACUAGUUUAGUAUAUGGUCUCCAGUAGUGGUUUAAUGAAAUUCCGUGGGAGAUCUCUUGAGCUUUAUUCAGAGCGUUGUUUUACCCUCCUAGUGUCCACUCCCUGCUGUCUUUGCAUAGGAGAACCACAGUCCUGUAUUCAGAGGUAAAAGUGGAUAAGUAUCUCAUGAUUUGAGGAUAGAUAGGUGUGAUGGAAAGAGAGUUGUCAUUCACUUGGUCUGCCCUGUUCCCUAAGUGUAUGUUUGCACCCCACACCUCUGUCAUCCUUGUUCUGAAAUGAGUGCUAUUCUACCUCAGGAACAUACUGAUGACCCCCAGCACUGUGAAAAUCAGAACAGUGAAUGGCAAGAUUCAAAGGGGCCAUGACAAAUAUUAGGGAAAUGGAAAAGUAGAAUGAGAUCCAUCCAUUGUGGAUCAAACCUAACAGACAAUGGCAGCAAGAAGUGGGGAGAGAAGAGAAACUUUCUCUGAAGUCUUGCCUAUUCUGUGCCUCCAACAAUAUGCCCCUUCCCCAUAACUUGCCCAACGAAUCUCUUCAACUGUAUCCUUUGUAAUAUCCUUUAUAAUAAACCAGCAAACAUAAGUGUUUCCCUGAGUUCUGUGAGCACUUCAGCAAAUUAAUUGAACCCAAAGAGGGGGUUGUGAGAACCCCAUCUUUUUUUUUUUUUUUUUUAAGACAGGAUCACGCUCUGUCACCCAGGCUGGAGUGCAAUGGCACAGAUCACUGCUCACUGUAACCUUGAAUUCAUGGGCUCAAGUGAGCCUUUCACCUCAGCCUCCCAAGUAGCUAGGACUACACAGGCUUGUACCUCCAGGCACAGCUAAUUUUACUUUUUAUUUUCUUGAGACAGGUCUCACUCUGUUGCCCAGGCUGGUCUUGAACUCUUGGCCUCAAGUGAUCCUCCAGCCAUGAGCCACUGUAAAUGUCUGGGAAUGCCAACUUGAAGCCCAGCUGGUCAGAAGUUCUAGAGGCCCAGACUUGCAACUGGUGUCUGAAGGGAUGGCAGUCUUGGGGACUGAGCCCUCAACCUGAGGGAUCUGAUGCUAUUUCCAGGCAGAUAGUGUCAGAAUUAAAUUGGAGGAUACGCAGUUAGUGUCUGCUGCAGAACUGAUUGCUUGCUUGCUGGUAGGGGGAAAUCCCCACAUAUCUGGGGGUCAUUGAAGUCUUUGGUGUUGACUCUUACUGUGUUUGUUGUUUUCAUGUGAGAGCAGAGGAAAAGCAAGGAAAUGUUUUCCUCUGGUCAGUUUUCCAGACCAGUCUUUACAGAAACACACACAGAGCUUCAAACAACACUACACUUACACAGCCCUAAAAGUUAGUAAGUACCUCUUUCAGUUCUGCACUCCAAGCACUUCAAUGAUUUCAGCCUUACUGUAGUCCUGGUGUUGAUUUUUAACAUCCAUCUCUCAGCAACUGGCAAAAAAAAAAAGACAAAAAAUAUCAGUGAAGAUAUAUGGAUUAUCAACCAACUUGAUAAAAUUAAUAUUUUGCACAAUAAUGCACCUAACAACUGUAAAAUACAUGUCCUUUUCAAGUGCACAUGUUAUAUUCAAGACAGACCACAUACUAGGCCAUAAAAAAAGCAUCCGUGAAUUUCAAAGGAUCAAAAUCGUACACAAUGUAUUCUUUGGUCAAAUGAAAUUAGGAAUCAUUGACAAUGAAGUACCUAGAAAACCCACAAAUGUUUGGAAAUUAAACACACUUCUAUAUAAUCCAUAGGUUAAAGAAGAAAUCAAAGGGAAAACGAAAAUAGUUUGAACUAACUGAUAAUGAAAAUGCACCAUAUAAAAAUUUGUGGGGCCAGGCAUGGGGGCUCAUAUGUAUAAUCCCAGCACUUUCGGAGGCCAAGGCGGGUGGAUCGCUUGAGCUCAGGAGUUUCAGACCAGCCUAGGCAACAGGGUGAAACCUCAUAUCUACAAAAUACAAAAAUUAACAGGAUGUGGUGGUGUGCAAUUGCAUGGCUGUGGUCCCAGCUAUGUGGGAGGCUGAGGCAGAAGGAUCGCUUGAGCCCGGGAAGUCGAGGUUGCAGUGAGCCAUGAUCACACCACUACACUCCAGCCCAGGUGGCAGAGUGAGACUUUACCUCAAAAAUAAAUAAGUAAAUACAUAAAUAAAUAAAAAGAAAAUUUGUGGAAUGGAGUUAAAGUAGGGAUUCUGUAUUUAAAUGCUUAUAUUAGAAGAGAAGGCCUAGAAUCAAUAACUACAGGUUCUACUUUAAAAGGCUAGAAAAGGAAAAGCAGAGUAAACCCUCGGUACCCAGAAGAAAGGAAAUAAGAUGAGAGAAAAAAAUAAAUGAAAUAUAUAAUUAGCCAAACUAAAAGUGAAUUCUCUGAAAAAUCAACAAAAUUGAUAAAACCUUGGGUGGGCAUGACGGCUCAUGCCUGUAAUCCCAGUACUUUGGGAGGCCGAGGCGGGCAGAUCACCUAAAGUCAGGAGUUUGGAACCAGCCUGGCCAACAUGGUGAAACCCCAUCUCUACUAAAAAUACAAAAAUUAGCCAGGCAUGGUGGCAUGCGCCUGUAGUCCCAGCUACUCUGGAGGCUGAGGGAGGAGAAUCACCUGAACCUGGGAGGUGGAGGUUGCAGUGAGCUGAGAUAGUGCCACUGCACUCUAGACUUGGCAACAGAGCAAGACUCCGUCUCAAAAAAAAAAAAAAAAGAGUUGAUAAAAACCUUAGCUAGAAUUAUCAAUUUAAAAACUGCAAAGACAAAUUACAUGAAAGAACUUAUCACUAAGGAGCAUUUUAGAUAUUAGAAGUCUAACAG
This 14522-nucleotide long non-coding RNA is filed under the name Homo sapiens (human). RNAcentral's name for it is "non-protein coding ZNF529-AS1:18". Lineage: Eukaryota; Metazoa; Chordata; Mammalia; Primates; Hominidae. The record is from RNAcentral.